GAUGAACGCUGGCGGCGUGCCUAACACAUGCAAGUCGAACGAAGCACCUUUUAAGAUUCCUCGGAUGAUUGAUUGGUGACUGAGUGGCGGACGGGUGAGUAACGCGUGGGUAACCUGCCCUGUACAGGGGGAUAACAGUUGGAAACGGCUGCUCAUACCGCAUAAGCGCACGAGAGGACAUCCUCUUGUGUGAAAAACUCCGGUGGUACAGGAUGGGCCCGCGUCUGAUUAGCUGGUUGGCAGGGUAACGGCCUACCAAGGCGACGAUCAGUAGCCGGUCUGAGAGGAUGAACGGCCACAUUGGAACUGAGACACGGUCCAAACUCCUACGGGAGGCAGCAGUGGGGAAUAUUGCACAAUGGGGGAAACCCUGAUGCAGCAACGCCGCGUGAGUGAAGAAGUAUUUCGGUAUGUAAAGCUCUAUCAGCAGGGAAGAUAAUGACGGUACCUGACUAAGAAGCUCCGGCUAAAUACGUGCCAGCCGCCGCCGUAA
RNAcentral lists this ribosomal RNA (493 nucleotides) under uncultured bacterium. Its description in RNAcentral is "partial 16S ribosomal RNA". It matches the Rfam family "Bacterial small subunit ribosomal RNA", at positions 28 to 523 of the family's 1533-position model. The record is from RNAcentral.